AUGGCCAACUUCAAGGAUCAGGUGUCCGAUAAGAAGGUACGCAUAGCUGCUAAAUUCAUCACUCAUGCACCCCCAGGGGAAUUUAAUGAAGUAUUCAGUGAUGCUUGGCUACUACUAAAUAAUGACAAUCUCCUCAGGGAAGGGGCAGCACAUGCAUUUGCCCAGUAUAACAUGGACCAGUUCACACUUCAUGGACAGUUCACAAGGUGAAGAUAGAAGGAUAUGAAGAUCAGGUCUUAAUUACAGAACACAGUGACCUGGGUAAUAGCAGAUUUUUAGAGCCAAGAAACAAAAUUUCCUUUAAGUUUGAUCACUUACAGAAAGAAGCAAGGGACCCCCAGCCAGAAGAAGUAGAUGGAGGUCUGAAGUCUUGGAGAGAAUCCUGUGAUAGUGCUUUAAGAACCUAUGUGAAAGAUCAUUAUUCCAAUGGCUUCUGUACUGUUUAUGCUAAAACUAUAGAUGGGCAGAUAAAAUAAACUACAGAUUAUUAUUGCAUGUAUUGAAAGCCACCAGUUUCAACCUAAAAACUUCUGGAGUGGUCGUUGGGAGAUUAGAGUGGAAGUUCACUGUCAUACCACCUACAGCCCAGGUGGUUGGAGUGCUUAAGACUCAGGUUCACUAUUAUGAAGAUGGCAAUGUUCAGUUGGUUAGUCAUAAAGAUGUGCAGGAUUCAAUAACUGUUUCAAGUGAAGUUCAAACUGCCAAGGAGUUUAUUAAAAUCAUAGAGAAUGUAGAAAAUGAGUAUCAGACAGCAAUUAGUGAAAACUAUCAAACAAUGUCAGAUACCACAUUCAAGGCUUUGCGCCGGCAGCUUCCAGUUACCCGCACCAAAAUCGACUGGAACAAGAUACUCAGUUACAAGAUUGGCAAAGAAAUGCAGAAUGCUUAAAGGCUGAAUGUAGGAUUCUUCAGUAUGUGGAAAGAAAAAGGAUUCAACAUGUGGUCAUAUGAUAAAUAAGUGAUUUAUAAACAAGAGUGAUAUUUUGCUAGGGCUUUCAAAGUCAUCAGGUUUUCUAGCCUCAUUGGAAUACUGUUGAACUUGUAGCAUUGUCCUGAUUCUUCUGUGUUCUCUGCUUUGUAAUUUUUUGUUAUCACUAGACCUACUUGUAAAUUUUUUUGUUGUUGUUAAUUUUGCUACAUUUAAUGUUAGAGAAAGAGGUUUAUCCUGGAGUCAUUUUAUCAUUUAGAAAAUAUUCCUAGCCAUGAAGCCUUGUUACUGAUUUGGACAAGGUAAUAAUGUUUAGUACUUUUCUACCCCUGUCAUUUAAAGACCUUCAGUGGUUUUUACUUACCCACCCACAGCUAGAGAGGCUGUGCUAUACAAGCUAUAGCUAAACGGAAGACACGUUCACCCUUCUCCCUCCAAAUGCUUUGAUCAUCAUUUAUUAGCAUCUCAUAACAGUAGUUUUCCAAAGUUUGGAUUAGGACUUCUCAGGUCCUUUUGGGAGGCAAAGGAAGUUUUCUGGAAAUUCCACUACAGCCAGCUUCUCUGGGGAACUUGUUUUUAAAUCCAAAGACUUGAACCACAGUCCCGCACGUGAACAUGUUAGGUUCUUCCCUUCCCUCGUUGUCGUCUUCUCAUCUAGUACCAUUGUAGCUACCGACAUCUGCAUUUUUAGAAAAGUUUUACCCCUUUAUUUUUUGUAAACAUUUUAAAACUACUGGCAUACUGUGGAUGUAGUAAAAUAUAAAACUUGAAAAAUGCAGAUGUUGAAGGAAUCUUGUGCUUUAAUAUUUUAUGGCAGGAUUGUGCUGUAAGCAAAUGCAUCAAACAACUAUAUAAAUCACAAACAGAAACUAAAAAUGAACCAAAGUGAAAAGGAAACUUCCAGGCAGCAUCUUUCUAUUGUAACCUGUUAUUUAAGGAAAUACUACUGAUUCCUUCUGAAUAGGAUGUAAAACUUGUUCCAAAUUACUCUUCCUCAGUCCUGCCUGCCAAGAACUCAAAUGUAACUGUGAUAAUGCAACCCUCCCCAGGUAUAUUGGCAGGUAUGUGUGUGAUCUCAGAAUGCACAGGUGACAUAGAUAGGGUAUGACAGCUGGUAAUGGUGGAUUCAUUUACAUAGUUUACACUUCUAUGACCAGGCCUUAAGGGAAGGUCCGCUUUUUAAAAACCAACCAAGUAGUGUCUUCUUAAAUCUCCAAAUACAUGUCAAAAAAGGAGGGUAUUU
Molecule: RNA transcript, 2171 nt
Organism: Otolemur garnettii (small-eared galago)
Lineage: Eukaryota; Metazoa; Chordata; Mammalia; Primates; Galagidae
Gene name: F-actin-capping protein subunit alpha-1-like
Exons: 2
Source: RefSeq, a predicted model, not a curated record